This 354-nucleotide unclassified non-coding RNA is filed under the name soil metagenome. RNAcentral describes it as "partial contains 5.8S ribosomal RNA, internal transcribed spacer 2, and large subunit ribosomal RNA". The stretch from base 1 to 119 matches the Rfam family "5.8S ribosomal RNA", at positions 35 to 154 of the family's 154-position model. The record is from RNAcentral.
GAUGAAGACGUAGCGAAAUGCGAUAAGUAGUGUGAAUUGCAGAAUUCAGUGAAUCAUCGAAUCUUUGAACGCACAUUGCGCCUUCUAGUAUUCUGGGAGGCAUGCCUGUUUGAGCGUCAUUAAACCUCUCUCAAGUAUGAUUACUUGGAUGUGAAGGAAGAGUACCUUAAACUUAAGGAGUGUUCUCCUUUGAAAUUGAUUAGCAGAUGGUAAUGUUAUUAAAUCCCUGAUGUUGUAAGAAAUAACAGUGGUUUUGUAGACUAUUAUCUAGCUUUAAAUUAUAAUUUUUAUUAUGGUUGACCUCAAAUCAGGUAAGGAUACCCGCUGAACUUAAGCAUAUCAAUAAGCGGAGGA